RNAcentral lists this ribosomal RNA (478 nucleotides) under uncultured bacterium. Its description in RNAcentral is "partial 16S ribosomal RNA". It matches the Rfam family "Bacterial small subunit ribosomal RNA", at positions 28 to 507 of the family's 1533-position model. The record is from RNAcentral.
GACGAACGCUGGUGGCGUGCUUAACACAUGCCAGUCGAACGGGAUUUCGUAAACAGAAGCCUCGGUGGAAGAUUACUAAUGAGAGUGGCGAACGGGUGAGUAACGCGUGAGCAACCUGCCUAUGACAGUGGGAUAGCCUCGGGAAACCGGGAUUAAUACCGCAUAAAAUCGUAGAAACACAUGUUUUAACGGUCAAAGAUUUAUCGGUCAUAGAUGGGCUCGCGUCUGAUUAGCUAGUUGGUGAGAUAACAGCCCACCAAGGCGACGAUCAGUAGCCGGUCUGAGAGGAUGAACGGCCACAUUGGAACUGAGACACGGUCCAAACUCCUACGGGAGGCAGCAGUGGGGAAUAUUGCACAAUGGGGGAAACCCCGAUGCAGCGACGCCGCGUGAACGAAGAAGGUAUUCGUAUCGUAAAGUUCUGUCCUAUGGGAAGAUAAUGACAGUACCAUAGAAGAAAGCUCCGGCUAAAUACGUG